AUUGAACGCUGGCGGCAUGCUUUACACAUGCAAGUCGAACGGUAACAGGUUAAGCUGACGAGUGGCGAACGGGUGAGUAAUGCAUCGGAACGUGCCCGAUCGUGGGGGAUAACGCAGCGAAAGCUGCGCUAAUACCGCAUACGAUCUGAGGAUGAAAGCGGGGGACCGUAAGGCCUCGCGCGAUCGGAGCGGCCGAUGUCAGAUUAGGUAGUUGGUGGGGUAAAGGCUCACCAAGCCGACGAUCUGUAGCUGGUCUGAGAGGACGACCAGCCACACUGGGACUGAGACACGGCCCAGACUCCUACGGGAGGCAGCAGUGGGGAAUUUUGGACAAUGGGCGAAGGCCUGAUCCAGCAAUGCCGCGUGCAGGAAGAAGGCCUUCGGGUUGUAAACUGCUUUUGUACGGAGCGAAAAGGCUCUCUCUAAUACAGGGGGCUCAUGACGGUACCGUAAGAAUAAGCACCGGCUAACUACGUGCCAGCCGCCGCUGUAA
This 493-nucleotide ribosomal RNA is filed under the name uncultured bacterium. RNAcentral describes it as "partial 16S ribosomal RNA". It matches the Rfam family "Bacterial small subunit ribosomal RNA", at positions 30 to 523 of the family's 1533-position model. The record is from RNAcentral.